Molecule: transfer RNA, 71 nt
Filed under: Loxodonta africana (African savanna elephant)
Lineage: Eukaryota; Metazoa; Chordata; Mammalia; Proboscidea; Elephantidae
Rfam family: tRNA
About the family: Transfer RNA (tRNA) molecules are approximately 80 nucleotides in length.
Source: Rfam by way of RNAcentral
GCUGUAGUGGUUCAGUGGUAGAGUUCUCGCCUUUCAUGCAGGAUACCCAGGUUUGAUUCCCGGCUAAUGCA